Molecule: ribosomal RNA, 372 nt
Filed under: uncultured organism
Description: bacterial SSU rRNA
Rfam family: Bacterial small subunit ribosomal RNA
Source: RNAcentral
CGGAGGGUGCGAGCGUUGUCCGGAAUCACUGGGCGUAAAGGGCGCGUAGGCGGCGCGGGCAGUCAACGGUGAAAGCUUGGGGCUCAACCCCGAGUCGGCCGUCGAUAUUCCCGUGCUGGAGCAUUGUAGAGGCAGGUGGAAUUCCGGGUGUAGCGGUGGAAUGCGUAGAGAUCCGGAAGAACACCGGUGGCGAAGGCGGCCUGCUGGGCAGUAGCUGACGCUGAGGCGCGACAGCGUGGGGAGCAAACAGGAUUAGAUACCCUGGUAGUCCACGCCGUAAACGAUGGGCACUAGGUGCUUGGGGGAGCGACCCUCUGAGUGCCGGCGCUAACGCAUUAAGUGCCCCGCCUGGGGAGUACGGCCGCAAGGCUG